CACAAUUUUGUGAUUAAAAAGUCCAAAGACCUCUGGUAAUCGGUGUUAGUUGUUUGGGUCUUCCUCUCUUUCUCUGUGUUGACUGUUGUGUGAAUUGUGUCAUGGCGGAACGACCAUCACUUUUGAUCUCUCUUUUCCUAUUCCAGAUCUUUCUCUCUUGCAUACAUCCUUCUUUCAGCGAAACACCAAUCUCCGCACAUGACAAUCUAUUGACGCUUUCCGAUCAAGUUGCAGACAUCCACGAUCUCCUCCCUAAAUUCGGUUUCCCGAAAGGUCUCAUCCCGAGCGCCGCCAAAUCCUAUUCUAUUACUUCAGACGGAAACUUUGAAAUUGAGCUCGAUACAACUUGCUACAUCCAAUUCGAUCAGCUUGUCUAUUUCGAAAAAAAGAUAAAAGGAAAACUCAGCUACGGCUCUGUUACAGAUGUUAUUGGAAUCCAAACAAAAAAACUCUUCUUAUGGAUCUCUGUUACAGGGAUUGAUGUCGAUUUCAAGUCCAAUUUGCUGGAAUUUCAUGCUGGGUUUCUCUCGGAGAAGCUUCCAGCAACGCAGUUUGAGGUAAUUCGGGAUUGCCAGAAAAAAACAGGCCAGGAAUCCCUAAUUAACUCUAUCUAAGAUGCAAGCAAAGCAACAGGCUCAUUGAAUGGUAACAGCUCUCAACAUGUAUCUACUUUCAAAUUUCAGUAUGCUGAAAUAUGUUUGGUUUCAAUUUCAAAUAAAAUUGGUAUCUUUUAUUUCUCUAAAUCAGCAACUACUUGUAUAUGAAAAGCUACUUCAACUACUUGUAUAUAAACUUUCCAUAUACAAUCUCUACAUUAUAUACUUGUAAAUUCA
Molecule: long non-coding RNA, 833 nt
Organism: Impatiens glandulifera
Lineage: Eukaryota; Viridiplantae; Streptophyta; Magnoliopsida; Ericales; Balsaminaceae
Exons: 2
Source: RefSeq, a predicted model, not a curated record